AGUCUGGCCUGCCCAAUGAUUUUUGAAUGGCCGCAGUAUUUUGACUGUGCAAAGGUAGCAUAAUCAUUAGUUUUUUAAUUGAAAGCUGGAAUGAAAGGUUUGAUGAGAAAAUAACUGUCUCUGCAUAAAUGAUUUAGAACUUCAAUUUUAAGUGAAAAAGCUUAAAUUUUUUAUAAAGACGAGAAGACCCUAUAGAGUUUUAUAUUUUUUUGAGUUUAAUGUUUUUGGGAAUUACUACUUUAUUCUUAUCUAAGUAUUUCGUUGGGGCGAUGGAAAAAUUAAAUUAACUUUUUUUUGUUUUUAACAUUUAUUUAUGGUUAGUUGAUCCUUGAAUUUGGAUUAUAAGAUUAAAUUACCUUAGGGAUAACAGCGUAAUUUUUUUUGGAGAGUUCUUAUCGAUAAAAAAGUUUGCGACCUCGAUGUUGGAUUAAAAUUAAAUUUUGGUGUAGAAGCUAGAAUUUUAGGUCUGUUCGACCUUUAAAAUUUU
This 487-nucleotide ribosomal RNA is filed under the name Pimelia ingrata. RNAcentral describes it as "partial large subunit ribosomal RNA". It matches the Rfam family "Bacterial large subunit ribosomal RNA", at positions 1851 to 2597 of the family's 2925-position model. Lineage: Eukaryota; Metazoa; Arthropoda; Insecta; Coleoptera; Tenebrionidae. The record is from RNAcentral.